UUUGAGUACAUUGCCAUAUAUUGCACAAUCCAGAAACGUGAGAACCGCGAACUUAGAUCCUGAUGUGCCUGGUGGAAUGGUUGUGAAAAGAAAGACAUGCCUGGAUAUACUUCCACAGUGCAUCGGGAUCAAUACGACAAGCUUACUGAGGAGCAGUUUACUUGGUGCCCUUACAUUGACGAGGAAGACGAUGAUUUGGUGAGGACGACGCGUGUCUAUCGGCGUGCCCAGGUUGAUCUUAUAUUAGAAAACUCUCUGCAAGCCUAUCAUCCCAAACAAGUGUUAUGGCAAUUUGAGCUCACAAAAGAGGCCCCACCUUUUGUUCCCCAUAGGGCCAUUGAUAAGAUGAAGGGGGGACCUCUAUAUGCAGGUGAGCUUCAAAGGGCACGUGAUAGAUGGGUAUGAGCAUUUGAAUUUUGUUUAAAUGGGAAGGAAGGUGUUGGAGUGUAGGUGUUGGUUAGAGGAGGAAAAAGUGAGGAAUCCCAAACUAUUUUGAUGCAAGCGACUAGGUGGGAUUUGCACUCAAAGAUAAUGGUGCAUAACUAUCUGCAAGAGGAUCCUAAUGUGCUACUGGUUACCUGAAGAAGCGAUCUCAAAAGGAUGAAGGGUUGUGUCUUGAAUUAGGUAAUGAGAUGGAGUUUGAAACAGAGGGUUCACAAGAGAUUAAGACCCUCCUGGAAACAACAUUGCGAGAUCCAAAUGUUAGAGAGGAGAAUGAGGCCCUUAAGAAGCACCUCGAGGAUUGUGCCGGGCUCCGAGUGAUUCACCCAAUCUU
This is a long non-coding RNA of Amborella trichopoda, 775 nucleotides long. RefSeq lists it as uncharacterized. The record is from RefSeq and is a predicted model, not a curated record. Lineage: Eukaryota; Viridiplantae; Streptophyta; Magnoliopsida; Amborellales; Amborellaceae.